This is a long non-coding RNA of Felis catus (domestic cat), 4803 nucleotides long. RefSeq lists it as uncharacterized. The transcript is spliced from 3 exons. The record is from RefSeq and is a predicted model, not a curated record. NCBI's taxonomy places the organism in Eukaryota, Metazoa, Chordata, Mammalia, Carnivora, Felidae.
CGCCCCUACGCCGACGUCACCGACGCCGCAGACGUCGGCCGCAGCUAGCGGCGGUUAGAGGGAGGAGGCAAGCGGAGCCGAGGCGGGAGCGGCUGCGGUCGACGGCGGGAAUGUCGGGGGCGAGGCGGCGCUACGAAUGUGCUGCCUACUACUGAUUACUGCACAAUACCUCCACAUUCCAAGACCGUCUUCCUUGUGACUGGAUGGAAACUUGGAAAGCACUCUAAUCACAAAAGCAGCGCAUUUGCAGCCGAUUCCAAGGGUUAAAGUUGGAUGCAGAAUAAAUCUGGGGAGACAAGGCUUGAGAUUAGAGAUCCAGCAUGGAAAAUACAAUGAAUUAACUUCCUGGGCUACAUGAGUAUUCACAUUUCUGAGUUACAAGGGGUUUGCUUUUUCUUUUGACCUCAAAAGACAUUUGGGAACUUUGGGAAAACUACAUGGCAUCUUUUAAGUUUUGCUUAUGAUUGUCAAGAGGGAUAGCCUCAAAAUUUAAAAGAGGUGGCACCGUCUGGCUUCCAGUAUCAAUAACCUUAUCACAGAUCCACCCCUGUGGUUCUUGUUCAGACUUUUUGAGGGUCCCACCUCACUGUCAACCUCAUUCGCAUUCAUAGUUUUAGCAUUACAGCUAACCAUUUUUUUAGUUGAUGGUCUGCAAACCUUUGCAGAUGAUAUGAAAUCUUCAUGUCAACAUUAACAAAUGCUUUACUAGUUUCUCUAUUUGACCAACAGGUGCUUCUGAAUAGGCCAGCUUGGGAGGAAAUGUCUUGGCAUAAUUCUUAAUUUGUAUCUUGACUUUUAGAGGUAAACUAUUGUCAUUUUUAAUCACUGCUGGAGGCAUUUUGUCAAAGGAUUCCUUUUUGGUUCCUUCAUCUUCAUCAUCUGCUUCAUCUUCUUCAUAGGUAUCGUUUCCUGAUAUUUCUGUAGCUUUAAAAGACUUUGCAUCUCUUAUUUCUUAACCUCUUCAUGAUUUCUUCACUUCUGUUUUUCCUUUCCCGUCUUUCCAGCAGGUUCUCUCUUGAAGAUCUGAGCCGUGCAUCCUAUGGCCACCGUAAAAGACCCCUUAUACCACACUGACACAUUUCUCCACUCAUGUUCUGGAAGCAGCUCUUCUACGAUUUCUCCAGAUUCUGUUCCUGAGCUAAAGCUUAGAAGAAGGAGAUUACUGGGACAAACUACACCCCCAUCACUCAGUCGGUCUCAGGGCCGCGACUACUCCUCAUUCUCCUCCUCCACUACCCAUUCCACAUCCUACUCUCCUUUGCCUGUCACCUCUGCAGAUCUCAGUGGCUUACCUGGGUGUGACUCAAAUCCUUAUUUCUUAUGAGAAUGUAUUGGUAAUUAUACCCUUCUCAGGCAGGGAUUCCUGCACAUGUCCUUCCAUACUUCUAAGUACGUAUCAGGAGACCUUCAAGUGAAUCACCUAGGGUCCACAUGUAUUUUUCCCUGUCCAUUAUGUGAAAGCAGCCCUUCCUCUUCCUGUUGAUCUAGGUCAUUUACUCUUGCCAAGAUGGGGACUCCUCUUCUUGCCUGCUGAUGGCUGGACACAAAAAGUCCAAAGUGCCCGAACAGUAGCCAUAGUUUACAGGUCAGUGGGACUCUUGUUGUGUUCUCUGACAAAAAAAAAAAUGCACUCAUUUUGGGGGACCAGAGUUGUGGGAACAGGAAGCACAGUCUCCCAAUGACUCAUUGAGAUGCUAAGUGGGGCCACUUCUGCUCCCUCCAUCUUUUUCCUGGACCCAUAUUUUCUUCCUAUUAGGGGCAUUGCCAAUCAGAGGUCUCUGAUAUAGUGUAUAUACUGCAUCCUGAAGGAUGGCACUCAAUCCUUGUGGACUGUUGCCUCUAAACUGGCACUGCAGCUGUGCCUUCAGUAGGUUGUCUAGUGCUCUUAUCAGGCUGUCUGCUUCUGGGUAGUGCAGUAGGUGGUACAACCAGUAGAUGCCUUGGUCAUGAGCUUCAAACCCACAUCGCCUUUCCUGUGAAGUGGUUCCCCCGUUUGGAUGCCAUGUUGAGUUAGAUCCCGUGCCAGUGGAUAGGGCCUUCUGUAAGCUCCUAGAGAGUAGUACGGGCUGAGGCUCUGUAGGCAAAAUAGGCAAACCCAUACCCAGAUAGGUGUUUGUCUCUGUGAGGAUGAACUACUGGUCACUCCAAAAUGGAAAGGGCUCAGUGUUGUUGACUUGCCACCAAAUGGAUUGUUUAUAUCAAGUAAAAUGCCAUAUCAGGAGCUUAGCGUUGGUCUCUGUUGCUGGCAAGUUAGACCUCCAGAGAGAGAAGCAGCUAGGUUGGCCUCGGUAAGUGGGAAUUCACGCUGUUGGAUUCAUGUGUAGCCUCUAUCUCUGCAAACAUUGCCAUUCCACUCGUGUGUCCAUUGUGCCAGUUUUGGGGUAGACCGUGACAAAGUGUGGCUAACAUUGACUAGUAGAAUCUUUGUAUCUACUUGGGUGUUCCACACCUUUUUCAAGGUUGAUUCUUUCAGGUUGGAAUAAACAUGGGAUGCAGAAAGCUUCACCCUUUGCAACCACACUAUUCUGUCUGUCCUGUCCGCAUGCCUCUACUCCAGAACUCCUUGUCUCCAGUCUCCCAGUCUUUUCUUUCAAAGUCCUGACGAGCUGAGCACGCCAUUGCCACUGCCCAGGCAACCAUAAAAAUUCUCAUCACAGGUACUUCUCUCAUACAAAGUGGAUGGCCAGCUAUACUGCUUGAAGCUCUGCCCACUAGGAAGAUUUUCUCUCUCCGCCAUCUUUUAGGGACACCACUGAAUAUGGCUGUGAUGUGCUGCCAUCCAUUUUUUAGUUUCUACCCACAUAUCAAGCCAACCCAUUCACAAUCAAGCUUGAGCUUUUUUCUUCUCCCUUAGCUGGCCAUACAGCCUGAGGGAGGGGUGCUGAUAUAGUGGGUGAUACGGGGGCUGGACUACUAGCUUAUGCCGUUAACUCAUGCCUUGGGAUGUGAUUUCGAAUGCAUCAUUUCCACGUUAUGAUGAACUGCUGUUGGGCCCAUCAACUUUAUGAUUGGGCUUAUCUGACAGAAUUCAGCUCAUGGUGGUACUUCUGGACUUGGUGCCUCACAGUCAAGCUUUCUGCCUCCACUGGGGCCCAAUACCAAGCCAGUGGCUGUUUCUUGAGAGGAGUAAAAUCUUCUGCUACAGAUGGCCUGGCCUUGCUCCAAAAUCCCAGAGGACUAUCUUGUGAUCUCCUACUGGGACUUGCUUUAAAUUCCACACUGCUGCAGAGCCCAUUGCUGGUGUAGGCUUCACUUAGAACUGGCAACCUUCCAUGUCACCCAGGAUAUGAGCCAGAGUGGUAUUCCGAGGUGUGGAAUUUGUGCUUUUGGAACCCAAAGAGGCCCACCAGGCAUUGUGCUUCAUUACAGUACGAGAUGCAAGAUACAGAAAUUUGUCUUUUACUCUGGAGGGGAUGCCUCCACGUGCCACUGACUGUUGGACCUCUAAAAAACAUUACUGAACCUUCUUAGGGUUUAUCUCCCACCCUCUGGAUGCAUGUGUCUUACCAAGUCCUCUAGCCUACAAGCCAACUCUUGCUCUUCCUACUUAACCAGUAUAUUAUUGGCAUAACGUAUCUGUAAUGGUCUACAGGGUAUCCAGACAGUCCAGAUCUCUUCAGACUGUAUUACAAUAGAGGGUAGAGGAAUCAACAUAGUCCUUGGACAAAACUGGAAAUAAAUAUGAUCUCUUCCACAUGAAUGUGAAUUGCUUCUCAGCCAUAUUUCUGACUGGAAUAUAAAAGAAUGCAUUCACCAAAUCAGUGGCCACAUAACCAUGUACCUGAGGUUUUCUUAAUGUACCCUACCAAUGGCAGCAUGUCCAACACAGCUUGAAUUGGAAUUACUACUUGGUUAAAUUUGCUGUGGUAUUCUACAUUCACCUAUUAGUGCACAAUGGCACUGAUCACCACCAUCAACCCUGGGACACAGUAGCAGUUUUGAUUAUGUUAGCUGGCGUGGGGAACAAUUUCAAAGGCUUCCAGUUGGCCUUCCUCACGUGAAUCCAUGGUGUGGUGGUGACACUUUGGAUCUCCACUUAUCCUACUUCUCUCAGCAAUGAGGUCCAAAGCUCCUUGAAAUGACUGGCAUUCCCCUUCCCCCAUGGUAAGUGCACUCCUCAAGUAAGUGCCAUGGGUCCCUUUGGGGAGUGAUGAAAAAUCAUUACAAUGUAUACUUUCCACAGUGUUGUAGAGUCCUUCUCGUAGCCACUUAUUAAGUGGACUCCAGAUCUGAAAAUUGGCUCAAAUUCAGGAACCGAGCAACAUACCCUGACUUUUUAUUGAGAUAACUGCCCCUCCAUUCUUGCCUGCUGCUGAUUAUAGAUGUUAAGCUGCACCCUUAUUAGCUGCUUACCUAUUUUGACCCUACGGUAAGGUGACCAUCUUGUCCAGUUUUUUCUAAGUUCCAAGAGAGGUCUUCUUGCUCUCACAUGUAGGCUUUAGCUGUUUGUAAACAGCCCUCAGUUUCUCAUUCUCUCUCUGCAUGGUAUCAGUGCGACUUAGGAAUAACUGACCAACUCCACUGCUUUCUAACCAUUGCUCUCCCCAUGUCUUUCAAAUCCCCAGAAUGUCACACAGGCAAGGAUGUCCCCACACUGGGAGAAAACUGUAGUUUGUUUUGUUUGACCUUUACCAGUUGUUUCGCCGUUUUGAAAAAUUACAUCAACAACAGCAACACUGAUAUUUGAAUCACCAAUACGAUAUGCCUGUAUCUGAAUUUGUGUAUAUAUCUCAUGUAUAUAUAUGAAUAUGCUUUCUUAGCCCUUAUUUCAAAAUGUAAAUAUAAAUAAAAUUGCUAUCAAUA